This 376-nucleotide long non-coding RNA is filed under the name Homo sapiens (human). RNAcentral describes it as "HSALNT0218460". Lineage: Eukaryota; Metazoa; Chordata; Mammalia; Primates; Hominidae. The record is from RNAcentral.
GGACAAAGGUGAUAAUGCAGGGGAAAUGCUGUGGAAUCUUUGCUUCUGUCACUUCUGAGAUCCUAUCCUGAACUUAGUUAUAAGAUCUCCAUUCCAGUGUGGGUCCUGCCCCAUACUCAGAAGGAAUGCAUGCUCAGAGAGGACAAGAAGAAUCUGAACACACAGGCCUUGCUGGGUCCCAUUCUCCACAACCUCAGUCUAUUACUAUUAGAUCGUACCAUUUUUGUCCAAUCACAUCUCUACACGCUCUUCUUGCUUCAUCAGAUCUAAAGCACCCAUGCAUAAAAUCAGACUGCUUUCCCUCUAUCUAUGGGUCACUCAAUCUGAAGGCUCCCAUGUCAUGUAAAACUUUGAUUAAAUAAAUGUUAUGCUUUUG